Molecule: ribosomal RNA, 449 nt
Filed under: uncultured bacterium
Lineage: Bacteria
Description: partial 16S ribosomal RNA
Rfam family: Bacterial small subunit ribosomal RNA
Source: RNAcentral
AACGAACGCUGGCGGCAUGCCUAACACAUGCAAGUCGAACGAGAUCUUCGGGUCUAGUGGCGCACGGGUGCGUAACGCGUGGGAAUCUGCCCUUUGGUUCGGAAUAACAGUUGGAAGCGACUGCUAAUACCGGAUGAUGACGAGAGUCCAAAGAUUUAUCGCCAGAGGAUGAGCCCGCGUAGGAUUAGCUAGUUGGUGUGGUAAAGGCGCACCAAGGCGACGAUCCUUAGCUGGUCUGAGAGGAUGAUCAGCCACACUGGGACUGAGACACGGCCCAGACUCCUGCGGGAGGCAGCAGUGGGGAAUAUUGGACAAUGGGCGAAAGCCUGAUCCAGCAAUGCCGCGUGAGUGAUGAAGGCCUUAGGGUUGUAAAGCUCUUUUACCCGGGAUGAUAAUGACAGUACCGGGAGAAUAAGCUCCGGCUAACUCCGUGCCAGCCGCCGCCGUAA